This 3023-nucleotide ribosomal RNA is filed under the name Leannia veloxifera. RNAcentral describes it as "sequence contains 18S rRNA gene". It matches the Rfam family "Eukaryotic small subunit ribosomal RNA". The record is from RNAcentral. Lineage: Eukaryota; Foraminifera.
CUCAAAGAUUAAGCCAUGCAAGUGGUAAUAACCAGACGGUUUAAAUAAGUGUACAUAAAAAAUAGCAGAUAAAGCUUUUUAUCACUUAUGCAACUGUAGAUAGCUGCGUAANCAGUUACACUUGUCUUGACUAAGCGCAUUUUUUGUUAAAAAAACAAUUAAAUAAACCAAUUUUAUUGGAUAACUUAGGGAAAGUUUGGCUAAUACGUACGAUAUUAAAAAAUUAAACCAAAAAAACUUUUUAACAUUUUCUUGCUCUUAUUGGAUUGUGAUCUAGAUUUAUCUAGNGAACAUUAUACGCAACAUGAACGACAAUAAGCACCUCUCUUUAAUUUAUUAAAGUGACGAGCAGACUUACGAAUUUAUAUUUGUAGGCAUGUCANACAAGUAUCUGAUUUAUCAUGAAACUUUGUAGGCAAGUGUAUUUUUGGACCUCCUAUUCACUGACAAAUUGCUANGAGAAGCUUCAUCUCAGCCAGAAGGAGCACAAUGAGAGACCGCUCUUAGUUCUAAGGAACGCAGCAGGCGCGUAAAUUGCCCAAUGCUAGUACAUUUAUUUAUAUAAUAAAUACCGUGUUGUUAAAAANAAGUAAAAAAAUAUUCCUUUUUUUUUACAUUAAACAAAUAUAAUCCUUGUUCACGUUAUUUACUCAAAUAUUGAGUGAGGCAGUGACAAGCUGUAACGAUUGAGUAUAUAUAAAAUAGGAAAGGAUGAGGUUGAGGCUGUCUUUCGACUUCCAUAUAUCUCUCCUUUUAUCUAUUUGCUCAUUUGUAAUGCAGUGAGUGUAGAUAACUCAGAAUCAUUAUUUUUUAAUAAUUUUAUUAAUUGUUGAGAAAUGAUUAUCUGAAAUUUCAAGUGGAGGGCAAGUCUGGUGCCAGCAGCCGCGGUAAUACCAGCUCCACUGGCCUAUACAAUAAUUGUUGCGGUUAAAAGGCUCGUAGUUGGAUUGAACUAAAUAAAAGAAGAAAAUUAAAAAAUUAUUUUUUAAAAAAAAAUUACCUUUAAAAAAUACCAAUUUUUUUUUUAAAAAUUAUUUUUUUUCUUUUCAACACUGUGAAUAAAUCAGAGUGUACCAAACAUGUCUUUUAUGAAUUUAUUUUCAUUAGCGCAUUGAAUGUCUUAUCAUGGAAUGUUGCUUAUUUUUGUCUCUUUUAGGGGCAAAACUGUCGAUGGGGAUAGUUGGAGAAGAUAGUACUGCAGGGCGAGGGGUGAAAUCCGUUGACCCUUGCAAGACUACCAAAAGCGAAAGCAAUUCUUCUAGAUUAUACCCUNUGUGAUUNAANAUAUUCACCUUUUCACAUUCAUGUUUGAACCGAAAUUAAAAUUAUUANNNUUUUUUUUUUUUUNUUUAAAAAANANNANANUAUNNAUUNNUAANAAUAAANAAUAAUAUUUUUUAACCCUGUUCAGAAAUUGUUUGNCCGAAAUUGAUUAUGUUUAUCACUACACAAUGAAGAACGAAGGUCUGGCGAUCAAAGNGGAUCAGAUACCCUCGUAGNCCAGUCGUCACNUCAAACGAUGGGCUCUCAAUUGCAUAUUUUAUUUUAAUAUAUUAUAUUAAAACAAUUCUCCGACCUGNAAAUCUAAUUUAAUUUUUUUGCUUGUAGUUAUUUUUAAUAACUNGCUUAAAUUUUUUAUUCAACCUGCAUUUAAAGUCGUUGUAGAAUAUUUCUGAUAUUUUUUAGUUUUUUAUGAUUUUUAUCAUUCUUAAUUNAAAAUUGAUUGUAUAAGCUUUGCGCUCAUUUAAAAAUUGUGUGAGAUGUAAGAGAACACUAAUUAAGAUAUUAUGUAAUACUGAAGACUGAGAUUUUAGCCUCGCGCUGUCUGAUCUUUCUAAAGUCAUUAUUUGUUUUAAUUUUUUAAAGCUUCUCAAUGCACGCCUUAGGCAUGUGCUUACUUGCAGAAAUGUUUGAGACAUUCCCCUCCUGGGGUAGUAUGCACGCAAGUGUGAAACUNGAAGGAAUUGACGGAAGGGCACCACAAGAACGCGUGGAGCAUGUGGCUUAAUUUGACUCAACGCGGGGAACCUUACCGGGUCCGGACACACUGAGGAUUGACAGAUAAAUUAUUUAGGAUAAUUUAUUAUUUUAAAUAAGUAAACAUGAAGAUCUUUCAUGAUUGUGUGAUAGGUGGUGCAUGGCCGUUCUUAGUUCGUGGAGUGAUUUGUCUGCUUAAUUGCGUACUUAAAAAUAGUAGAUCCGAUCAAAUAAUUAGUCUUUAUUUUUUAAAUAAUUGCUAGUUGUUGGAUUUAUUAUUUAAGCAACGAACGUGACCGCGACCUCAUAUUACAAACAAUUGUAAUGGGUACAACAACUUAUUAUAAUUGUUAUUCAGAAUCGUUAGUCUUUUAAAGACUACCUUUUUGUCUAAUUUGAGGGACAGCUGUAUUUUAAAGACAGAGGAAGGGCGCGUCAAUAACAGGUCUGUGAUGCCCUUAGAUGUUCCGGGCUGCACACGUGCUACAAUGAUUGUUUCAAUGAGCAUCUAAAUACUGAAAUAAUUAAAUAAGCAAUUAUUUGAUUAUUUUUAAAACCUUCUGCGAUAGUUUAACGGAUUCUGGAGAACGUAUCUUAUCUUCCUCAGAAUCUUGAAGGUAAUCUAUUAGCAGUAACGAUUUCCCUUUAUAGCCAAUUUUUUUAUACCCGUUUUGUUAAUUGCCUUGCUGAGAUUGAAUUUAUUCAAUUUCUUGCAAUUAUUAAAAACUUGGUAUUGCGCCUCAUCAGUUCGUGGUGGGGAUAGACCAUUGUUAAAAAGAUUUUCACUUGUGAAAUGAUUAUGGAAUUGUUGGUCUUGGUUUAACUAGGAAUGCCUUGUACAAGUUAGUUCAACAAACUACUUGGAAUAUGUCCCUGCCCUUUGUACACACCGCCCGUCGCUCUUACCGAUGGACUAUUUUGUGAGUUUAUUGGACAAUAAUUGAAUGGAUUUAUUCAUUCUACGAUUGAAAAAUAAACGAACAAUGUGGUCUAAAGGAAAGAGAAGUCGUAACAAGGCAUCGGUAGGUGAACCUGCAGAAGGAUCA